GACGAACGCUGGCGGCGUGCUUAACACAUGCAAGUCGAACGGAGUGGCGAACGGGGGAGUAAAACGUGGGUGACCUGCCCUGCACUUCGGGAUAAGCCUGGGAAACUGGGUCUAAUACAGGAUAGUUGGGGAUGGGCCCGCGGCCUAUCAGCUUGUUGGUGGGGUAAUGGCCUACCAAGGCGGCGACGGGUCGCCGGCCCUAGAGGGUGGACGGCCACCAUGGGAAUGAGGCACGGCCCAGAAUUCUACGGGCGGCAAGAGGGGGGAAUAUGGCACAAUGGGCGGAAGCCUGAUGCAGCGACGCCGCGUGGGGGAUGACGGCCUUCGGGUUGUAAACUCCUUUCACCAUCGACGCGGUAGAUGGAGAAGAAGCACCGGCUAACUACGUGCCAGCAGCCGCGGUAAUUC
This 408-nucleotide ribosomal RNA is filed under the name uncultured bacterium. RNAcentral describes it as "partial 16S ribosomal RNA". It matches the Rfam family "Bacterial small subunit ribosomal RNA", at positions 28 to 526 of the family's 1533-position model. The record is from RNAcentral.